This is a long non-coding RNA of Oncorhynchus keta (chum salmon), 151 nucleotides long. RefSeq lists it as uncharacterized. Lineage: Eukaryota; Metazoa; Chordata; Actinopteri; Salmoniformes; Salmonidae. The record is from RefSeq and is a predicted model, not a curated record. The transcript is spliced from 3 exons.
CCUAUCACAGCCAUUAAACUCUGCCAGUUAGGUUAGUAUUGAGGAGUAACUAUAAUGUAGUUGAUCCAUCCUCAGUUUUCUCCUAUCACAGCCAUUAAACUCUGCCAGUUAGGUUAGUAUUGAGGAGUAACUAUAAUGUUGUUGAUCCAUC